This 240-nucleotide long non-coding RNA is filed under the name Glycine max (soybean). RNAcentral's name for it is "long non-coding RNA (GMAX_LNC000611)". Lineage: Eukaryota; Viridiplantae; Streptophyta; Magnoliopsida; Fabales; Fabaceae. The record is from RNAcentral.
UGGAUCCUGACUCAGAGGGAGGAGAAGGAGAAGGGUUUGAUGGGGUGGUUGGUGGGGUGCCACUUGGGGUUGUUGGGGGGGUCCCACUAGCAGCAGCCACAUUAAUUUGCAGCUUCAUGCCUCCAGCACAGUGGCCUGAAAUGGGGCACAAGAAGUACCUUUUGCCUGGUGAAGUCAAUUCAAUCUUGGAGUUUCCAUCUUGGUAGUUCUUGAUGCUGUUGCUUGAGCUGCAGCUGUUGU